Molecule: small nucleolar RNA, 129 nt
Organism: Jaculus jaculus (lesser Egyptian jerboa)
Lineage: Eukaryota; Metazoa; Chordata; Mammalia; Rodentia; Dipodidae
Source: Ensembl
AAGCCAGCCAAGUAAUCUUAUUUGAAUGUGUGUCUGCAGAAAUUUAGAAACAUCUGGCAAUAGUGAUGCCAUUUUUAUGAGCCUUAAGGACAAGUGAGGUCAUUACUGCCCCUCAAAAUGGCUAUAGUA